Molecule: ribosomal RNA, 254 nt
Filed under: uncultured bacterium
Lineage: Bacteria
Description: partial 16S ribosomal RNA
Rfam family: Bacterial small subunit ribosomal RNA
Source: RNAcentral
UACGUAGGGAGCGAGCGUUGUCCGGAUUUAUUGGGCGGAAAGAGCGCGUAGGCGGCUCGGUAAGCCGGAUGUGAAACCUCCAAGCUCAACUUGGAGCGGCCAUUCGGAACUGCUGUGGCUAGAGUCUGGUAGGGGAACACGGAAUUCCUGGUGUAGCGGUGAAAUGCUUAGAUAUCAGGAGGAACACCAGUGGCGAAGGCGGUGUUCUGGGCCAGUACUGACGCUGAGGCGCGAAAGCGUGGGGAGCGAACAGG